Molecule: transfer RNA, 72 nt
Organism: Ipomoea nil (Japanese morning glory)
Lineage: Eukaryota; Viridiplantae; Streptophyta; Magnoliopsida; Solanales; Convolvulaceae
Rfam family: tRNA
About the family: Transfer RNA (tRNA) molecules are approximately 80 nucleotides in length. Their secondary structure includes four short double-helical elements and three loops (D, anti-codon, and T loops).
Source: Rfam
GCCUUCUUAGCUCAGUGGUAGAGCGCGUGGCUUUUAACCACGUGGUCGCGGGUUCAAUCCCCACAGACGGUG